Patella vulgata (common limpet) is the source of this 733-nucleotide long non-coding RNA. RefSeq lists it as uncharacterized. The transcript has 4 exons. NCBI's taxonomy places the organism in Eukaryota, Metazoa, Mollusca, Gastropoda, Patellidae. The record is from RefSeq and is a predicted model, not a curated record.
CAUGAUACGGAUGAACUACAAAAAAUCACAUAUAAAUAGAAUUGAUUUGAUCAUUCAGAGAUGGUAAUUUGUCAAAUAAGAAAUUGAAAUAAACUGCAUUUGAUAAAAAUAUCAGGAUGAAGGCUGUUGCUUUUCUGGUUGUCUUUCUUGCUGUAGCACUUACAGAAACCAAUGCUGGUAAUAUUGAGUGUCUUGCUGCAACAACUACAUGCGCAUCAAAGUUGGCUGCUGUUACCACGAAUUCCGAUUGCGCGAAGAAAGAACCUUACUUUAAAUGUUUGACAGAUAACGGCUGUUCAACAGAUGACGCCGCUUAUGAAGGUCAAGUUACUGUGUUAAAUUAUAGCAAGUGUAACAGUGGUGUUGCUCUAGCCAUAACAUGGAUGUUGCCAUUAGUAAUGCUAGUAAUGUCAAAGACGUUCUCUGAUUAAUAAACAAGAAGAAGAAGAAGACGCUCCCAUAUCCAUAAAUCCACAGGGUAUUAGUGCCCACCCAACAUUAGCGUAUGAUAUACAUGCCCAACCUUAAAAUAUGUAAAAAUACCAUUAAAAUAUUAUAUAUAAAAACAAAUUUAAUCCCCUUAAAAGUAACAUUAAUAGGUCCAAUAAAAUAAAAUACACAGUUAGUAAUCUCUCCUAAUUUUCAAUGAUUUCUAAGGUUCUUGAAUAUAUAUAUAUAUUAAAGUAGAUAAAGUAUAAUGAUUUAAUGUAUGUCAGAAUGAAGUAAAGUGGAG